UACAGUUGCUAAGACUGGAUAGGAAAAGUAAAGGCAUCUUUACUUUUUUAAAAGACCUUCUUUGAAGGUAUACUUAAGGAGGGGCUUGCGACACAUUAGUUAGUUGGCAGGGUAAAGGCCUACCAAGACUAUGAUGUGUAGCUGGACUGAGAGGUUGAACAGCCACAUUGGGACUGAGACACGGCCCAAACUCCUACGGGAGGCAGCAGUAGGGAAUUUUCGGCAAUGGAGGAAACUCUGACCGAGCAACGCCGCGUGAACGAUGAAGUACCUCGGUAUGUAAAGUUCUUUUAUUAAGGAAGAAAAAAGAGUGGAAAAACUCCCUUGACGGUACUUAAUGAAUAAGCCCCGGCUAAUUAUGUGCCAGCAGCCGCGGUAAUACAUAAAGGGCGAGCGUUAUCCGGAAUUAUUGGGCGUAAAGGGUGCGUAGGCGGUUUAAUAAGUUUAUAGUUUAAUUUCAGCGCUUAACGCUGUUGUGCUAUAGAAACUGUUUUACUAGAGUGAGUUAGAGGCAAGCGGAAUUCCAUGUGUAGCGGUAAAAUGCGUAAAUAUAUGGAGGAACACCAGAGGCGUAGGCGGCUUGCUGGGACUUUACUGACGCUGAGGCACGAAAGCGUGGGGAGCAAACAGGAUUAGAUACCCUGGUAGUCCACGCCGUAAACGAUGAGUACUAAGUGUCGGGUAAAACCGGUACUGAAGUUAACACAUUAAGUACUCCGCCUGAGUAGUACGUACGCAAGUAUGAAACUUAAAGGAAUUGACGGGACUCCGCACAAGCGGUGGAUCAUGUUGUUUAAUUCGAAGAUACACGAAAAACCUUACCAGGUCUUGACAUUUUCUUGCGAAGUUAUAGAAAUAUAAUGGAGGUUAUCAGGAAAACAGGUGGUGCAUGGUUGUCGUCAGCUCGUGUCGUGAGAUGUUAGGUUAAGUCCUAAAACGAGCGCAACCCUUGUCGUUAAUUGCCAGCAUGUAAUGAUGGGGACUUUAAUGAGACUGCCAAUGAAAAAUUGGAGGAAGGUGGGGAUUACGUCAAAUCAUCAUGCCCCUUAUGAUCUGGGCUACAAACGUGAUACAAUGGUUGAUACAAAGAGUAGCUGAAACGCGAGUUCUUAGCCAAUCUCAAAAAAUCAAUCUCAGUUCGGAUUGAAGUCUGCAACUCGACUUCAUGAAGUUGGAAUCGCUAGUAAUCGCGAAUCAGCAUGUCGCGGUGAAUACGUUCUCGGGGUUUGUACACAACGCCCGUA
This 1244-nucleotide ribosomal RNA is filed under the name 'Bellis perennis' phytoplasma. RNAcentral's name for it is "bacterial SSU rRNA". It matches the Rfam family "Bacterial small subunit ribosomal RNA", at positions 155 to 1398 of the family's 1533-position model. The record is from RNAcentral. Lineage: Bacteria; Bacillati; Mycoplasmatota; Mollicutes; Acholeplasmatales; Acholeplasmataceae.